GACGAACGCUGGCGGCGUGCCUAAUACAUGCAAGUCGAGCGGACCGAACGAGGGCUUGCUCUUGUUUGGUCAGCGGCGGACGGGUGAGUAACACGUGGGCAACCUGCCCGCAAGACCGGGAUAUCUCCGGGAAACCGGAGCUAAUACCGGAUAACACCGAAGACCGCAUGGUCUUCGGUUGAAAGGCGGCCUUUGGGCUGUCACUUGCGGAUGGGCCCGGGGCGCAUUAGCUAGUUGGUGAGGUAACGGCUCACCAAGGCGACGAUGCGUAGCCGGCCUGAGAGGGUGACCGGCCACACUGGGACUGAGACACGGCCCAGACUCCUACGGGAGGCAGCAGUAGGGAAUCUUCCGCAAUGGGCGAAAGCCUGACGGAGCGACGCCGCGUGAGCGAAGAAGGCCUUCGGGUCGUAAAGCUCUGUUGUGAGGGACGAAGGAGCGCCGUUCGAAGAGGGCGGCGCGGUGACGGUACCUCACGAGAAAGCCCCGGCUAACUACGUGCCAGCCGCCGCCGUAA
RNAcentral lists this ribosomal RNA (517 nucleotides) under uncultured bacterium. RNAcentral's name for it is "partial 16S ribosomal RNA". It matches the Rfam family "Bacterial small subunit ribosomal RNA", at positions 28 to 523 of the family's 1533-position model. The record is from RNAcentral.